GAUAAUGGUUAGGGUUAGGAUAAUGGUUCGGGUUAGGAUAAUGGUUAGGGUUAGGGUUAGGAUAAUGGUUAGGGUUAGGAUAAUGGUUAGGGUUAGAGCUAGGGUUAGGAUAAUGGUUAGGGUUAGAGCUAGGGUUAGGAUAAUGGUUAGGGUUAGGAUAAUGGUUAGGGUUAGGAUAAUGGUUAGGGUUAGGAUAAUGGUUAGGGUUAGGAUAAUGGUUAGGGUUAGGGUUAGAGCUAGGGUUAGGAUAAUGGUUAGGGUUAGGAUAAUGGUUAGGGUUAGGGUUAGGAUAAUGGUUAGGGUUAGGAUAAUGGUUAGGGUUAGGAUAAUGGUUAGGAUAAUGGUUAGGGUUAUGAUAAUGGUUAGGGUUAGGAUAAUGGUUAGGGUUAGGAUAAUGGUUAGGGUUAUGAUAAUGGUUAGGGUUAGGAUAAUGGUUAGGGUUAGGAUAAGGGUUAGGGUUAGGAUAAUGGUUAGGGUUAGGAUAAUGGUUAGGGUUAGGGUAAUGGUUAGGGUUAGGAUAAUGGUUAGGGUUAGGAUAAUGGGUAGGGUUAGGAUAAUGGUUAGGGUUAGGGUAAUGGUUAGGUUAGGAUAAUGGUUAGGGUUAGGGUAAUGGUUAGGUUAGGAUAAUGGUUAGGGUUAGGGUUAGGGUUAGAUAAGGGUUAGGGUUAGAGCUAGGGUUAGGGUAAUGGUUAAGGUUAGGGUUAGAUAAGGAUAAAGGUUAAGGUUAGGGUUAGAUAAGGAUAAAGGUUAAGGUUAGGGUUAGAGCUAGGGUUAGGUUAGGGUUAGGAUAAUGGUUAGGGUUAGGAUAAUGGUUAGGGUUAGGAUAAUGGUUAAG
This 835-nucleotide long non-coding RNA is filed under the name Salmo salar (Atlantic salmon). RNAcentral's name for it is "lncRNA (ENSSSAG00000115105.1)". The record is from RNAcentral. Lineage: Eukaryota; Metazoa; Chordata; Actinopteri; Salmoniformes; Salmonidae.